RNAcentral lists this ribosomal RNA (449 nucleotides) under uncultured bacterium. RNAcentral's name for it is "partial 16S ribosomal RNA". It matches the Rfam family "Bacterial small subunit ribosomal RNA", at positions 329 to 794 of the family's 1533-position model. The record is from RNAcentral.
UGCCAGACUCCUACGGGAGGCAGCAGUGGGGAAUAUUGCACAAUGGGGGGAACCCUGAUGCAGCGACGCCGCGUGGGUGAAGGAGCACCUCGGUGCGUAAAGCCCUAUCGGCAGGGAAGAAACAGACGGUACCUGACUAAGAAGCCCCGGCUAACUACGUGCCAGCAGCCGCGGUAAUACGUAGGGGGCAAGCGUUAUCCGGAUUUACUGGGUGUAAAGGGGGCGCAGACGGCAGCGCAAGCCAGGAGUGAAAGCCCGGGGCCCAACCCCGGGACUGCUCUUGGAACUGCGCGGCUGGAGUGCAGGAGGGGCAGGCGGAAUUCCUGGUGUAGCGGUGAAAUGCGUAGAUAUCAGGAGGAACACCGGUGGCGAAGGCGGCCUGCUGGACUGCGACUGACGUUGAGGCCCGAAAGCGUGGGGGGCGAACAGGAUUAGAUACCCUUGUAAGA